Pipistrellus kuhlii (Kuhl's pipistrelle) is the source of this 1120-nucleotide long non-coding RNA. RefSeq lists it as uncharacterized. The record is from RefSeq and is a predicted model, not a curated record. The transcript has 3 exons. Lineage: Eukaryota; Metazoa; Chordata; Mammalia; Chiroptera; Vespertilionidae.
ACGUCAGGCCUGAGGCGGGGAGAGUCUGCCCUUGUUUGUAUAUGCCCAUGGCCGCGGCCAUUCCCUGGGGUCAGAGCACUCAGACAGGGGACCGGUGGGGAGAGGCAGACCCCCAAGGCUCUGCUGCUCCAGAGGCUCGGAAUUCACUGCGCACAUAUUUGCUGACUUCCCUGCAUUCUGCCAGCUUCAGGCAUUCACUUCCCAGAAGUUUAUUUGAGGAGACGCCGAGGAGCCGGAUCUGGGUCCAGCAGACCUGCCCAGACAGACAGGCUGAGCCCUUUCUCACUGCCUCUCUCACACGCUCCACCUCUCACAGUCCUCCCUGUCUGCCUCUCCGUGGCCACCUGCUCCUCCGUCUCUUUUCUCCCUCUGCUUUUUAUUCUCUGCUUGAUCCCCUGCUCCAGAUUCAGUGCCCACCCUUCUCAGCCCUGCUGGGUGCCCUGGGAGGCUGACCCCAGAGGACCCCACAGCCUGAACGGGCCGAGUUCAGCUGGCGGGAGGCCCUGGCGGAGAUUACAGGGAGGGAGGCGGGGUGGGAGGUCAGGGAUUCCUUCUCCACGCCCUCUCUCCUAGGCAACAUUUUCCGCCGGGGCUGUGUUUCUCCAUGACUCAUCCUGCACCGGCAUUCCGUCCUCCCCAACCAGCCCUCACUGGCCUGCAAUAACACCCCCUCCUCCCAUCGCCCAUCAGCCCUAGAGGUGGUAAGGACUUCCCAAGAUUGCCAGCCUCUCUUAUUGCUUGCUACACUCCACCCAUGUCUUAAAGCUCCAGAACCCUCCUGCCCUCCACAGGAAGCUCCAGAACCCUCCCAUCCCUCCACAGAAAGCUCCAGAACCCUCCUGCCCUCCACAGGAAGCUCCAAAUCCUCCCAUCCCUCCACAGAAAGCUCCAAAUCCUCCCAUCCCUCCACAGAAAGCUCCAGAACCCUCCUGCCCUCCACAGGAAGCUCCAAAUCCUCCCAUCCCUCCACAGGAAGCUCCAAAUCUUCCCAUCCCUCCACAGAAAGCUCCAGACCCUCCCAUCCCUCCACAGAAAGCUCCAGAACCCUCCCAUCCCUCCACAGGAAGCUCCAGAACCCUCCCAUCCCUCCACAGGAAGCUCCAGACCCUCCCAUCCCUCC